UGGGGAAUAUUGCACAAUGGAGGGAACUCUGAUGCAGCGACGCCGCGUGAGUGAUGAAGGAAUUCGUUUCGUAAAACUCUGUUCUAUGGGAAGAAAAGGACUGUACCAUAGGAGAAAGCUCCGGCUAAAUACGUGCCAGCAGCCGCGGUAAUACGUAUGGAGCGAGCGUUGUCCGGAAUUAUUGGGCGUAAAGGGUGCGCAGGCGGCUUUACAAGUUGGAUGUGAAAUAUUGUGGCUCAACCACAAACGUGCAUCCAAAACUGCAAAGCUUGAGUUAAGGAGAGGUAAGUGGAAUUCCUGGUGUAGCGGUGGAAUGCGUAGAUAUCAGGAGGCAUACCGGUGGCGAAGGCGACUUACUGGACUUAAACUGACGCUCAGGCACGAAAGCGUGGGGAGCAAACAGG
RNAcentral lists this ribosomal RNA (404 nucleotides) under Fusobacteriota bacterium. RNAcentral describes it as "Fusobacteria bacterium partial 16S ribosomal RNA". It matches the Rfam family "Bacterial small subunit ribosomal RNA", at positions 355 to 776 of the family's 1533-position model. The record is from RNAcentral. Lineage: Bacteria; Fusobacteriati; Fusobacteriota.